Long non-coding RNA from Pezoporus occidentalis (night parrot), 1396 nucleotides. RefSeq lists it as uncharacterized. Lineage: Eukaryota; Metazoa; Chordata; Aves; Psittaciformes; Psittacidae. The record is from RefSeq and is a predicted model, not a curated record. The transcript is spliced from 4 exons.
AUGGAAGUUAAUGAGAAAUGUUAGACUGUUGUCACGUCACAGUGUGGGAGGAGAUGUUUCAUGAAGCUAAUCACACUGAAAACCAUGGAGGGAACACCUAAAAGUUUUAAAUGGGGUAAGAAUACAGCUUACCUCCCUGCAAACGUGAUUUCUGUAUUUGUUUGUGGAACCCAAAUUCCGCGUGCAGCAACAAUUCUGAGAGCUUUGUUAGCUUGGUCCUGACACCAUGAGUAGCCCAAACAGAUGUGACUAAGGUGCAGCACCUGUUUGCUGAAUUUGCUAGAGGUGUUGAUAUCGGCCACGUGUAUGCUGGAGUGUCUGCUGGGGUACCACCAUCUGUACCAGUGUCAAAAGGAGCUCCUGACUCUAUGCCAGCUGUGUGCAUGAACAGGAAGACGUGUCUCCAUAUCCUCUGUCUUCAUGCUUUCAUCACCCCAAGGAAAGGAAGGGACAGGUACUACGCUGAGAAAGCUGUCAUUAAAGUGGAGUGGAGUGAAAGAAACGAUAAGGAAGAAGGAGGGAGAAAGAGUGAAGCUGGAACAAGGCCUUGGAAUAAAAUCUUGUUGGACAAGGAACCUGCAACAUGGUAGCAUUUCCCUUAGAAGUCCUAGCGAAAAGCAGUAGGACUCACUCCAUUUGAACACGUAGGCUUUGGCACAAUGUGUAUGCUCUGGACUGCUGGACCCUAAAUGAAAACUCAGCUGUAUCUGCACUCCAUAUGGAAGUAUAGCAUUGGAGAUAUCCAGUAUGCUCAGUGCCGGGAAACACUGAGGCAUCUGAGCCUGAUGUACAGCCUAAAAAGCUUUCACAUGGUGUUUUUGAGUUAACCAGCAGCCUGAGUUAAAGUUGAGCCACAGUUUCAGAAAUACUUUGGAACGACAUUGGAUUCAAUGGGUAUUACGUUUUCUUGACCACCAUCAGCUUCAGACUCUCAUGCGUUCAGGAAGUUCCAUUAAUAUCCAUGAAAAACAUCCUUCCUCCCAGAUACAGUACUUGCCUCACGCUGCUUGUAUGCAACACUCAGGAAAUAAGAGUAUCUCCUCCGCAUGUACUGGCCAAGCUCGUACUGUUGCUGUAUGCCAAGCUGUGGAAGUAACAAAAUAGUGUAAGAGGUUCCAGAAGUGCGUUAUGCAUCUUCUUCUACAACCACAAGUUGAGAUGAUUUUUCAUAUUAUUCUGAUGGAGACCUUUUUCCUUUCUAAAGUGAAGGAGGACAGAAGACAGGUGAAAAAAGCAGUAAAGUUGCUGUGUCUGCAGUAUCAGAUAAUGAAAGAUAUGCCUUCCUGAUGCAGCUUUGCAUUUUCCUCUGUGGAAGGCAUGCUUACCCAAACUAGUAAGACUGGCUGAGGGGCAGGGGGACUUAACGCAGGCUUAUAGAUGUCUCAACACCGUCUGC